Molecule: non-coding RNA, 134 nt
Organism: Triticum aestivum (bread wheat)
Lineage: Eukaryota; Viridiplantae; Streptophyta; Magnoliopsida; Poales; Poaceae
Source: Rfam
GUUAUACUCCCUCCGUCCGAAAAUAUUUGUCAUCAAAAUGGAUAAAAGGGGUGUAUUUAGAUGUAUUUUAGUUCUAGAUACAUCUCUUUUUAUCCAUUUUGAUGAUAAGUAUUUUCGGACGAAGGGAGUACUAG